UGCCUAUGACGAAUGCGUACGGGUGAGUAAGUAUCGGAACGUGCCCAGUAGCGGGGGAUAACUACGCGAAAGCGUAGCUAAUACCGCAUACGCCCUGAGGGGGAAAGAGGGGGAUCAGAGAUGACCUUUUACUAUUGGAGCGGCCGAUAUCGGAUUAGCUAGUUGGUGGGGUAAAGGCCUACCAAGGCGACGAUCCGUAGCUGGUUUGAGAGGACGACCAGCCACACUGGGACUGAGACACGGCCCAGACUCCUACGGGAGGCAGCAGUGGGGAAUUUUGGACAAUGGGGGCAACCCUGAUCCAGCCAUUCCGCGUGUGCGAUUGAAGGCCUUCGGGUUGUAAAGCACUUUUGUCAGGGAAGAAAAGGUUUGUGUUAAUACCAUGGACUGCUGACGGUACCUGAAGAAUAAGCACCGGCAAACUACGUGCCAGCAGCCGCGGUAAUACGUAGGGUGCGAGCGUUAAUCGGAAUUACUGGGCGUAAAGCGUGCGCAGGCGGUUCGGAAAGAGAGAUGUGAAAUCCCAGGGCUCAACCUUGGAACUGCAUUUCUAUUGUGUCGAGCAAA
This 567-nucleotide ribosomal RNA is filed under the name Taylorella equigenitalis. RNAcentral's name for it is "bacterial SSU rRNA". It matches the Rfam family "Bacterial small subunit ribosomal RNA", at positions 84 to 644 of the family's 1533-position model. Lineage: Bacteria; Pseudomonadati; Pseudomonadota; Betaproteobacteria; Burkholderiales; Alcaligenaceae. The record is from RNAcentral.